UAGGCACACCAGACACUCCAAGGUUGUCU
This 29-nucleotide non-coding RNA is filed under the name Mus musculus (house mouse). The record is from RNAcentral. Lineage: Eukaryota; Metazoa; Chordata; Mammalia; Rodentia; Muridae.